RNAcentral lists this long non-coding RNA (5495 nucleotides) under Sus scrofa (pig). Its description in RNAcentral is "lncRNA (ENSSSCG00030062356.1)". Lineage: Eukaryota; Metazoa; Chordata; Mammalia; Artiodactyla; Suidae. The record is from RNAcentral.
CAUGUAUAAUUGUAGGUGUCUAUUCUUACUUUAAAACUUCUGAGGAGCCCAAACAACUCUACCUUAACCUAACUUCAUCUGAAUAAGCUUUUGACAGGUCAAAAUAUCUUUCAAGGAAAACUUUUUUUUUAUUAAUAUUAUAACCAGUCAUUUUAUGCUGACCGCAAACAGCAGGAAUGUACAAGGGCAAUAUCAAGACUUUACUAACUGGUCUUGGCUGAUCUUGCAGAAGUAGCUGCAAGCUGUAAUGUUGCAGCAUUUUCUCCUUUAAUGUCUUCUUCGUCUUCUUCUUUUUUUUUUUUAAUAACAUACGUAAUUAGCUUUCCAUUGUUGGUUGUGAAUCUCAGCUUGCUCUCUUUCAUCAGACCUUGUUUUGUUCCUGUUUACUGAGAGUUCUGACUAGAGGAAGUUGCUAGUAAAUUCAUUUGUGGCUAGAUUUCUGCCUUGCCUAAACUCUUGUUUUACUUUCAAUCCCAGAAUCGUCUUGAUCAUAUUUAAACCUCAGAGACUCUUUUUUUCUUUUAUCCUUCUUACCUACAGCCUAGACCUUGCAUUCUCCCUAAAACCUCCAUUGAUCCAUUUAAAGUCCUCAAAAGAAUGGAUGAAUGGAUAGCACAUUCAGACCUGUAAUAGCAUCUACUGGAGAAAACCUAGAGUUGGGAGGAGCAAUAGGAGAAUUGAGUUCCUAAUUGACCUUCAUUUCUGGAGCAGAGCGCAGAAAUAUAACUGCUGAAUGAAGGCUCUAGGAAAGGACCGUGAUCCUUGGUAUACAAUUUUUAAGGUAGAUUAUUGGAGAAUGUAUCAGUCCUUCUUCUGUUAGGAUCAGAGUUUAGGAUCUAAGCCUUAGGGUUACAACUGUAUGCUAUGGUGGAAACUGGACCUCCAGCCUUGUUCUAUCCCCUCAGUAUUUUAUAUAGGUAUUUGCUAAAGCUUCUCUCAACAGAGCACUAGCCACCUUUCUGAGGAACCUCCCUGCUUUCUCAUCCUAGUUUACUUUUUGUCUCUCACACUAAGGUGGCCAUUUAUAGCAGAGAGCAAAUGUUGCCUUAGUCCACUUGUAAUCAUAAUCCCAUGUUCCUCUUAACAAAGUAUCUAGUCAUUAGUUCUAAAGAAGGUGGUCAGUAGGACAUCAUUCUGUGUUCCACAUCAAAUUUUUUGUCUCAGUUUUGUCACAGACUCAUUCAAGAGCAUUUCACCCUGAUGAUAGAGUUGGAGAGGCUCUAUCAACUAUAUAUAUCUAAAAUAAAUUGAUGAACAAUUUAUUUUGAAUAUAUAGAUAUGAUGGAUUGGUUUUUAUAACCUGAAAACUUUAAUUAAAAAAAGCAAUUGCUAGCAUUUCACAUACGAAAUCUCCCUUAAAAAUUCAGAUUUCUGGCUUCUUUCAAAAAAUUCAAAGAUUUUGCCUCAUUGAGCUUGUGUUUCUUCUUGGCAGCAGUCAGAGGGAGGUCAGUGUUGCCUGUCUCCUUUAGACAGGUAUUCUUCAGUUUCCACAUUUCCCUGACCCAGCAGUCACUUGUAUUACUUGCCUAGCUCCUGUGGUCAUUUGAGUCUGCACCUUUUGUUUUAGACACCCACUGCAGGAAUAGCUGCUGACAUAUUGUUCUUAUCGUGUCUGUCUAAUCUAAAGAUACAAAAAUGGAACAGAUUAACAGUUAUAACAAUAUUGUUUCUAACAUUUUUUUUUUCAGUUUUUGCUGCAGACAUGGAAAUUUGCUAGAAGUAUUUAUAUAAGUUGUUGAAGGGCAAGUAUCUUAUUUCCAUACGAACUGAGUUGCUUGUUCAAAAUCUUUGCUGCUUUGGGCAGGGGCAGGGUUAGUGAGGACAUAUCCUGCUGCUUCUGUCCGCACAUGAAACAUUUUACACAAUUUUGAUUCCAGGUGGAGUACUUGAGAAAUAAUGAGAAUAUUGCUUAGAAGGAAUGGUGUCUGUCUUGAACGGACACAAAGAAAUGUGUAGUAACUGACUUGAGAAUAAACAGACUCUUUAAAAGUUUGUUUUAUCAUGAGGGACGACAUCGUGAGAGAGCAGUUUAGUGGAGUCCUACAAAGCACCGGCCCUGACUGACCCCGGAUUCAGAGGCUGCUCACCUUCCUAGAAUGUUUAUACCUGGAGGGAGUAGGGGAAAAUGAAGAUGCAUGCCAGAAACUGAAUCAAAAGUGGUCAUGUUUCUGUUGCUUUCCUGAAAAUCUGAAGAGUCUUUAUGUGAGGUCUUGAUACUUUGUUUUAUAUUUAUUUUGACUUCUAAAUUGAGACAAGAUAUUAAAAGCAUAUGUUAUAGAGUGAGCAUCUGAGGAAAUAUUCUAAUUUUGAAUUGGAGUUCCUAUUGUGGCUCAGCAGUUAAUGAACCUGACUAGGAUCCAUAAGGAUGUGGGUUUGAUCCCUGGCCUCACUCAGUGGGUUAAAGAUUCGGCGUGACUGUGAGCUGUGGUGUAGAUCACAGAUGCGGCUCAGAUCCCAAGUUGCUGUGGCUGUGAUGUAGGCUGGCAGCUACAGCUCUGAUUCGACCUGUAGCCUGGGAAUCUCCAUAUGCCAGGGGGGUGGCCCUAAAAAGGAAAAAAAAAGAGUAGGGUGAGUGUGGAGCAGUAAAUGAGAGAGAGAGAAAAUAGGGGGCAGGGAGAGAAAGAGAAGGAGAGAAUGUGUGAGUGUGUGCGUAUUGUGUAGAACUGUAGAGUUUCAGGGAAGAAUUGAGACUGAAUUGGAAAUAAUGCACGGCACGUGUGAGUUGUAACUGACUCUAGAGUUGAAAUGCAAAGCCUUCUCUUGCUACUUGUUCUGCACAUCUCUCCUGGCUGCUACUUACAUGUACGUAUUUUUUGAGUCUUUUAAAGAGUUUUAAGGUAGAGUAAUUGAUCAAAACAUUAACAAUAACUCAAAAGUUGGGACAAAUCACAGUUUCAAUGACUUUUAUUUUAUUUUUUUUUCCUUUUUAGGGCUGCACUAGUGGCAUAUGGAAAUUCCCAGGCUAGGGGUCAAAUCAGAGCUGGAGCCAUUAGCCUACGCCACAGCUGCACAGCAAUGUGGGAUCCGAGCCAUGUCUAUGACCCAUACCACAGCUCAUGGCAACGACAAAUCCUUAACCCACUGAGCGAGUCCAAGGAUGGAACCCGAAUCCUCAUGGGUCUUAGUUGGGUUCGUUAACUGCUGAGCCAUGAAGGGAACUCCUCAAUGACUUUUAGAAAACUGUUGAUAUGAAUGUGGAGUGUCUGGCAUCUGAAAGGCAAAUGGGGCAGAGCUGCUAGCAGAUUGUAGACAGUUCAUUUCCAAAGACAUGCAGUUAUUUCAGUGUUGGCUGGAGUCUGCAAGUGCUGCAGUGAAGUAUCCGUUUCCUUUUUAUCUUCGACUUAUAACAAACCAAACAAAAAUUACACUACGUUUUGCAGACAUCAGUUGCCUUUCAUGAUGAAAUCAAAGAUGUUUAAUUUGAGCUCUUAAUAUGCAAAUUUUAUUUAUAAAAAAUUUAAAUGAUUAUAUUCCUGUAAAAUACUUUUAUUCAUAACUUGAAGAUAAAAAUAUGCUAUUUAGUUAGUCGAAAGACAAUCUAAAGUAACACAUUAAUGGUAAACAAUGUACUACAAUGUAUGUCAGCCUGGUCUUUGCAUUUCUAUACUAAAUAUUAAGGGGGAUAAACUUUAAUUCAUAUGUUUACAAGCUAAUCUUUAAUUGAAAUAGUUGUUAAUCUCAAUGUGGGAACUUGAAUAUUCUAUGAUUUAAAAUCAGAUCUAAAGUUGUGAAAUACUAUACCACUAUUGGUUUUGAGUGAGCAAAACGGAAUUCAGAGUAAUAGUUACAUGUAUAAUGUACUUUGUAGUCAUAACUUCAUCUUUACUAUUGUAUAGCUAAAGAUUAAUCUUUUUGACAUGACUUACAGAAGGUGUUCUUUAGUAGAGCUCAUGCAGAGCUAUUUGACACUUUGAAAGAAAGUGCUUCUCUUGGUGGGAAAGACAUCCAUCCAUUUCACUGAGCUCGCUUUCAUGUGGAACCAAAGUAAUUAGAUGUCUGGCUUUAGUAGUACAGUAUUAAGUCUUAUCUUGAGGACACCUAAGGUUUAUGUAAUACCCAGGCAUCAAUCAAUUAGACUCAGAAAAAAACAAGUCAAUUUUAUGAGUCUGCAUGAGUCAGGCAUUUGAUUAUCCUGAGAAAACGGGGUCUGGUUCUUUUCAGUGAAGCUUUCCUUCUGCAGUCGAUUAACUGUUGACUCUUGUUCUAUUGACCCUCACUAAUUUUGUUGCAUGAUCUGUCAUUCCUUAUCUGGACUGAGAGGGAGAUCCCUCUGUAAAUAUCAACAACUGAUGAGGUUAAGAGAGGGCGCCAUCUGUUCUGGAAUGGAUUUUCAUAGUGUGUGUCUGUGGAGAGUGAUUCUUGAGCCUGCAGCCUAAUACAUUUUCUAAGACCAGAUUACGAAUUAUAGCUCUCUCUUGUACACAUAAAACAAUUAUUGGUCAACCAGCACCAAUAUAGAUAUUUAUAAAUUAGAAGUUGACUUUGUCUUUAUUCUUUUAUUUUUUUACAUUAUAUUUGUACUAAUGUAAAAUCAUGCCUUUAUAUGGAAAUAGAGUUUAGAGACUCAAAUAAAUUGCCAACUAAGGAUUAGCUGGUGCAGUUUCAUUUUACUCUCACUUUUUUUUAAAUAAAAAAAUUUAGUGGCUUGUUUAAAACAACAACUUUGGAUCUAAUCCUUUAAUUAGUAUAGACAGUAAACUCACUUAAAAUCUCUGCUGCUGGUUUUAUGUUCUUUGUUAGAUAUAAUUUGGAUCUCUAUAUCCAUUCUCCCGAGCCUCUAAAAUUUUUUUGUUUUAUAUCUUAUUUCUAUAAUAAAUGUAAGAAAAUUUUUUCUAAAUUCUAGUUGAAUUAUAUGUUACAUAUUAGACACAGAAUGUGGAAUUUGCUGGAAUAAACUUAUUGCUGAAUGAGCUGUCCAGAGUGGCAUAUGAUCAUCACUGCUGAAUAUUUCUCCUCGACUGGAUUUCUUGUCACCUCAGGUCAAACUGAAAUGUGACAUUUACAAACCAUGAAGCAUUAUAUCCAAAUAAGUUGGACAUUCUAGAAAGGAGAGAUAGUGUAGGCUUAAGAGUGCAGACUGCCCCACAUAAUAUUUGUAAAGUGGAGAUACUAAGAAUUUAUUUAGUUCUUAUCUGAGCCUGAAGAACUUCGUUUUUUGCUUCUCUCCAACACCUGCCUGUACUCUUACUGGGUAAAAUCAUGAGCAGAUUCCUGAACAUCCUGUCUUAUUCCUCAUCUUUACUCCAUCGUUGUUUCCUCUACCCCCUAGAAACUUUUUCCUCUUAGUCUACGUGGUCUUCUCUUCAAGACAAAUUUCGUGCUUUUUUUUUUUUUUUUUCCUGUGAAACCUCUGACUAGGGUAAAGAACUCCUUCCUUUGUGCCACUACUGAUCAAAUAUUACAGUCUUUGUCACACUGUGUAAUUAUUUUGCUGACAUGCAAGUCUCAUUUUUAAGAUUGUAAAAUCCAUGUACUCAAUAAACCUUGAGUGAAUG